UUUAAACAAUUAAAAAUAUGCACAAAAACAUUUAAUUCAUGAAAAAUAUCAAAAUUAUCCAAAAAAUAAUUUUAAUUCAAAAUAUGAAAGAGAAAAAUAUUUAAAGAUUUUUGGUGAAAGUCCCAUAUUUUUUGGAUUAAAAAUGAAAUUAAUAUGAAUUAAAAAAAAGGGAUUAAAUGAAAAAUCAGAAAUAAAAUAGAAAUUAAAAAAA
RNAcentral lists this long non-coding RNA (211 nucleotides) under Lathyrus oleraceus (garden pea). RNAcentral describes it as "Pisum sativum (pea) long non-coding RNA (PSAT_LNC005797)". The record is from RNAcentral. Lineage: Eukaryota; Viridiplantae; Streptophyta; Magnoliopsida; Fabales; Fabaceae.